AUGAACGCUGGCGGCGUGCCUAAUACAUGCAAGUCGAGCGAACAGACGAGGAGCUUGCUCCUCUGACGUUAUCUUCGGACGGGUGAGUAACACGUGGAUAACCUACCUAUAAGACUGGGAUAACUUCGGGAAACCGGAGCUAAUACCGGAUAAUAUAUUGAACCGCAUGGUUCAAUAGUGAAAGACGGUUUUGCUGUCACUUAUAGAUGGAUCCGCGCCGCAUUAGCUAGUUGGUAAGGUAACGGCUUACCAAGGCAACGAUGCGUAGCCGACCUGAGAGGGUGAUCGGCCACACUGGAACUGAGACACGGUCCAGACUCCUACGGGAGGCAGCAGUAGGGAAUCUUCCGCAAUGGGCGAAAGCCUGACGGAGCAACGCCGCGUGAGUGAUGAAGGUCUUCGGAUCGUAAAACUCUGUUAUUAGGGAAGAACAAAUGUGUAAGUAACUAUGCACGUCUUGACGGUACCUAAUCAGAAAGCCACGGCUAACUACGUG
RNAcentral lists this ribosomal RNA (496 nucleotides) under uncultured bacterium. RNAcentral's name for it is "partial 16S ribosomal RNA". It matches the Rfam family "Bacterial small subunit ribosomal RNA", at positions 29 to 507 of the family's 1533-position model. The record is from RNAcentral.